RNAcentral lists this long non-coding RNA (1243 nucleotides) under Crocodylus porosus (Australian saltwater crocodile). RNAcentral describes it as "lncRNA (ENSCPRG00005019027.1)". Lineage: Eukaryota; Metazoa; Chordata; Crocodylia; Crocodylidae. The record is from RNAcentral.
AUAAAACUCUGCAGGCAGCAAUUUGAGUUCAGUUGUAUCAGGCUACCCCAGAAUUUCCCCUGCAGUUUCGCUCAGAGACAUUAGUCUUCCCUUUCCUUCCUGAAGUACCCAAUCCUCUGUGCUCUGUGAUAGAAGGAGCUGUACAACAGCCACCAAAAUACUGAGCAGAGAGGGUAGGCCUAAACAGGAACUGCUCAUUCUGCUCCAUAGGUAGCAAAUCCAUGGAGCCCCCAUGUCUUGCUUAAUCCUCAGUUAAGAGGCUCCCUCCAAAUGCAGGGCCUGGGGUCUGGGGUUCCAAGGAUCCUGUCAUACUCCACCAAUCUUCAUUUAAAUUACAGAGGCCAAAAGGGAGUUUUGCCUGCAGCCUGCACAGCACAGUGGGAUUAGCAGGGCAAUGGUACUAAGGAAAUCUAGGACAGAUGAUAAUGCUGCUGUCUUUGAUCUAGAAAUUGGGACUGGGAUGUCUGUGAGAACAGGUGUUUUCUCCUCAAACUCUUCCAGGAUGGUCUUGUGAUUUGAGGGGCUUCAGGGAGGUUGAUACAAGGGACAUUGGAUGUAAGGCAAUGGAGAAACGGGUCCCUGCAAGAAAUUUUACUUCCACUUGUGAAGAAAAAGGAAGAGCUGCAUUCCCACUCCAUAAACCUGGGAUAGGACAUGUUCCCUGUCUGCCCUUUAUACAUAUAUGGCCCCUGCUGCAGCCAUUCAAAGAGCCAAGUGCAAAGCCAUCUGCAAGACUGGUAACAAGCAGGCCCAGACCAGAGAACCAGAGACUUCACUGCUAAUUACUGGAGCUGGAAGAGCAAGGGAAGCUGGAGAUGCCUGUGUGCCCCCAUCCAUAGGGGAAGAUGUGAAACCCCGGCAGAGGACUAUGAUAUAGUAGUGUGCUGUGCUGUGUUAUGCCUAUCAGAUAUCCAUUCAUCACAUGGAAUUGUGCGAUUAUAGUGCAAACCCAGCAGCUGAAAAGGAUAAAACCUCCUGCUGCCACCUCCUUUCCCACCUGGCUAUGAAUUCACAUUCACACAGGGUAUUCAUAUCCAUAGACACCAAUAUUGUGUACAACUAAAUAUAUUAAAACAAUCCAAAGCAAAUACAAGCAGCCCCAGCCACUACUAUGUAAAGUGUGCAAGCAUUAAUAAUAGUGCAAUGCACUAUGAAAACCACCAGAGAUACUCAUCAGCACAGUCACAGAGGUCAUGGAGCUGUACAUCACCAGUUGCUUGUCUUCCUUUCCUUGGGGUUGUGU